Molecule: ribosomal RNA, 240 nt
Filed under: uncultured bacterium
Lineage: Bacteria
Description: partial 16S ribosomal RNA
Rfam family: Bacterial small subunit ribosomal RNA
Source: RNAcentral
CCGGCGCACGGGUGAGUAACGCGUAUGCAACUUGCCUGUCAGAGGGGGAUAACCCGGCGAAAGUCGGACUAAUACCGCAUGAAGCAGGGGCCCCGCAUGGGGAUAUUUGCUAAAGAUUCAUCGCUGAUAGAUAGGCAUGCGUUCCAUUAGGCAGUUGGCGGGGUAACGGCCCACCAAACCGACGAUGGAUAGGGGUUCUGAGAGGAAGGUCCCCCACAUUGGUACUGAGACACGGACCAA